RNAcentral lists this ribosomal RNA (468 nucleotides) under uncultured bacterium. RNAcentral describes it as "partial 16S ribosomal RNA". It matches the Rfam family "Bacterial small subunit ribosomal RNA", at positions 28 to 507 of the family's 1533-position model. The record is from RNAcentral.
GAUGAACGCUGGCGGCGUGCUUAACACAUGCAAGUCGAACGGUGAAGGCGGAGCUUGCUCUGCUGGAUCAGUGGCGAACGGGUGAGUAACACGUGAGCAAUCUGCCCCUGACUCUGGGAUAAGCGCUGGAAACGGCGUCUAAUACUGGAUACGAGCUGCGAAGGCAUCUUCAGCAGCUGGAAAGAACUUCGGUCAAGGAUGAGCUCGCGGCCUAUCAGCUUGUUGGUGAGGUAACGGCUCACCAAGGCGUCGACGGGUAGCCGGCCUGAGAGGGUGACCGGCCACACUGGGACUGAGACACGGCCCAGACUCCUACGGGAGGCAGCAGUGGGGAAUAUUGCACAAUGGGCGAAAGCCUGAUGCAGCAACGCCGCGUGAGGGACGACGGCCUUCGGGUUGUAAACCUCUUUUAGCAGGGAAGAAGCGAAAGUGACGGUACCUGCAGAAAAAGCGCCGGCUAACUACGUG